Miniopterus natalensis is the source of this 2459-nucleotide non-coding RNA. Lineage: Eukaryota; Metazoa; Chordata; Mammalia; Chiroptera; Miniopteridae. The record is from RefSeq and is a predicted model, not a curated record.
AGCCCGCGCCCAGCGCGUGCGUGCAGGAGCGGUCUGCAAACUGGGGCUUGGCUUUGCAAAUUAACCAAAAGCCAAACCAGGGGUUAAACGUGCUGGCGAAGGCCUUUUGUUUGCAAACUGUUUGCGCGGGGCACCCAUCGGAACAAUUGUUGAGCGUGCAUCCCUGUGCCUGUGUGAACUGAUGGGUGCUAAUAUGUUAACUACUAAUAAAGGGCCAACGCUCUAAAUCACAGAAGCUACAACUGGAAAGACUAAGAAAGAUCUUUAUUAGAAAUAUAUACACUUUUGUGCUCACAAAAGUUAUUUUAAAAUUUAAGGAGCCCAGUGUAUUUGAAUGUGUGUUUGUUUUCAUCUUAGUUUAAGGCUUUGAAAUAGAGUGAAUUUGAAAACCUGGUUUUAAGUUCAGUUUAUAUUUCUAAACUUGCAGCAUCCAUCGAUGGCUCUCAGGAGGAAGGGCUCCUCGGGAAAUGGUUGAUUUCAAUGGAAUAAAGGCAACCUAACUGUGGAGGGAUGGCUGACACUGGAAUGUGCCCUCUGCCAGUGGCAAAGAAGUUUGCUGGAGGUCAAAACUGGUUCACAGAAGCUCUCUGCUGUUGCAGGAGGUGGUGGGCAAGCUGGACCUGCGCUAUGGAAGCAAAAUGCCAGGUCCUAUCGGAGGGAGAAGAAAGACCUAGGCCCACUGAACAGUUGUCAUGAUCAAUCCACAAGCUUUGUGGCCGUAUCUGUCGUUCCCGUGGCUGUUUGGGUGGCUACCCCAGGCUCCAGGUGUCUACCCAUUGCUUCUGCUUCCUAAGGAAUAGGAAUGGCAUCCUUACAGAGACUUGUGAAGCUGAAAGGACACCUGAGGUGUCCUUGCUUUUUGCCCACUGGACACCUGUGUUUUCCUGCUCCUUUCUGAGAUGUGCCACAGGAGGUGAUGGCCAAGUAUGAGAGAAGUAAAUGCUUAUCCCAGCUCUCGAUGGACCCUUCUAAGGAGCCCUUGAGCCUGAACUGGGGAUGAAGUCAUGGUCUGCACUGUGGGGUUCCGACCACCUGAGAAGGUGCGAAGUUGAUAUUAUUCCAUGUUAAGAGUCUGUUCAAAGUCCUUAAAGUUAUGGCAGGAAAUGACUCAUCUGAUUCCAACGUCAGCUUUGCUCUCGAGUACAGUCUCCAGGCGCAGUCCUAUGGCCGACACCACCCUCUGCUCCUUCGGAUUUACCCUGUGUCUAUACUCUACAUAUUUUGUUCCAUUUCCCAUUAAACAAAUGUUGGCACAGGGAUUAUAUAAACCACAUUCAUAUAUUAUUACUUUGGAUAAAGUUCUGAUCACUAGACCUGGUUUGAGACCUAUUGUCGGUUUUCUUUACAACUAGACACUUACGGGUUGAUUUAAAUGACUGUUUACCAGAAAUGCUGGCCCAAUUAAAGUUGUCCCUGGGACCCCUAGAGAAGUGUACAGAGAGUUAGUGGAUUGUCUCACAUGGCUCUCUCUUGCCCAUCAGCUUUAAAUAACAUGUUUGAACUUACACUGAGAAAUGGGUAAGUUUUCUCCGCGUAUAUCCCGUUGGCUGUUUUAAGUACAUAGGCGUUACUGGGAUUGUUGAUUUUGGAGAUGAGUGUCUGGAAAUCAGAGUGUAUUUCUUCAACCUUCCCCAAGUUGAAGUCCUUUGAAAGAAAAGGGACUGGUCAGUGAACAAGAGCUGAAUAUAUAGGAACAACCUAGAGCUAAAUGAAAUGAUUUGGUGCAUCGUGAACAAAAGCUGAAAUUAAUUCUAAAGCAGAUAAAAUGUUUUCUCUAAUGCAUCAGUGCAAAAAACAUCGAGAUAAUUGAAGGCAUCAUUUUCUUCACAUUUAGUUUGCAAAAGCAGGAACAAUUUUGAAAGUAGGGCAGUUUUAAAAGGGAAGUAAAGGAGGAUAAGAGAGAAUGUUAAAAAUAUGACCCUUCCAAAAAGUAUAAACAUUUUGUAUUAUGAAAAAAUUUCUAUAAUUUUAAUACACGCUUCUAAGACUACCCAGAAAGGUUGCUUAAAUUAGCCACUAACACGCAGGUGCUAAAAGUGGUUUCUCCUUAAUCAGCAAAUGGAUAUUAAAAUAGAAAAUAUACCGUUUUCCUUUUCUUUUCACUUUCAGGAUAAGACUUGAUGUCCUGAGCUCUGUUAAACUGAAGCACCUGUAAUUUCAAUAAAGACAAUAGAUUGGGAAACUGAAGUCCAGAGAGUUGAAGAGAGUUGCCUCAAAUUAUAGUGCUGAUGACAUCAGAGAACAGCUGGGUUCGGGUCUGUCAGCGGCUCUGGGAUGAGACUCAUGAUAAAAGUGGCGGUGGAACCAGGGUCCCUCAGUCCCUCAGCCAGUGCAUCUUCUCAGUACACCCAUGACUGCUCACUCCACACAGAAAAUGAGAAAUAAGGGUGCAUCUCAGCAACUUUGUAGUUUUUCUCACUUUUCAUCCAUAUUUUUAUUUUUUUAAAUGCUUUUAUUGG